RNAcentral lists this ribosomal RNA (228 nucleotides) under uncultured bacterium. RNAcentral describes it as "partial 16S ribosomal RNA". It matches the Rfam family "Bacterial small subunit ribosomal RNA", at positions 568 to 795 of the family's 1533-position model. The record is from RNAcentral.
UGCGUAGGCGGAAGAUUAAGUCAGUGAUGAAAUCCUGCAGCUCAACUGUAGAACUGUCAUUGAUACUGAUUUUCUUGAAUACAGUUGAGGUAGGCGGAAUAUGUAAUGUAGCGGUGAAAUGCUUAGAUAUUACAUAGAACACCAAUUGCGAAGGCAGCUUACUAAACUGUGAUUGACGCUGAGGCACGAAAGCGUGGGGAGCGAACAGGAUUAGAUACCCUGGUAGUC